Molecule: long non-coding RNA, 1666 nt
Organism: Panicum virgatum (switchgrass)
Lineage: Eukaryota; Viridiplantae; Streptophyta; Magnoliopsida; Poales; Poaceae
Exons: 9
Source: RefSeq, a predicted model, not a curated record
CCGACCAAUCCAGAAAAGGCCUUUCACACCGACCUGUGCACCCGUGACCGCACGUUCCGGCUGUCUUCUUUCUCUUACCUUGUCUACCGCACUGCCGCCGCCCCGCCGCCUCCACCCCGCGCCGCCGCCGCUGCCCACCCCCUCGCCCCUUCCCACACCGCCUCUGCUGCCUCGCCCCCUCCGCACCGCACCGCCGCCGCCACCACGUCCCGCACCGCUGCGGCGAGCGGAUCGCCGCCUCCUCGCCCUCCCCCAGCCACCGCAGCCCGCCCCCUGACCCACCGCCGCUGGCCUUUGUGUGGCUCGUCGCGGCGAGGCGCCGGUAGCCCCACCGCUUCCACCGGGCGCCGCCACCUGCCUCACCCUUCCUUCCGUGCGUCCGGCUCUUCCCUUGCAGCGGGCCCGGCGGCGGCGAGCCCCGCCUGCCUUGGCCUCCGCCGCGCGGCAGGCACUGCUGCUCCCUCCUCUCUCUUCGCUCGUCCUCCUCCCAGAAGGCGGCGAGGACGUUGCGUCAGCGGGGUGGCGUCGGUCGCGGCCGCGCCCUGCUCCUCUGGCUCUGGCUGCCCACAUCCCGCCUCCCUGCUCCUCCGACUCCCCGCCAUGGGGGCUGCCGCUGCCAGAUCCGGCCGCGGUGGAUCCAGAUCCAGCGGCACGGCCAGGCAGCUUGUGGGUGGAUCCAGAUCCAGUGCCAUGGGGCGCACGGUACAAUCCAAGCAAACAAGCAGCAAACAGUGAAGCAUGUUUUUGAAUAGCCCAGGUCACUCCAUAUGCACUUGAGACAUCAGACCUUCUUGGCAUUCAAAUUGAUGCAGCCAUAAAUCCAGGUUUGUCUUUUAUAUCUGCUUUUGACAAAAAAAAAAACUUACACUAUAUCCUUUUGAAUAGCCCAGGUCACUCCGUAUGCACAUGGGACAUCAGACCUUCUUGUCAUUCAAACUGAUGCAGCCAUAAAUCCAGGAAACAGUAGUAUUAUUGGCAAUGUUAUUCCAACUACAAUGUUAUCCCAUUUCUUAAAUGGCUAUAAGAAAAAUGGAAAGUACACAGAAAUUGGAAAAUCCGGCGUUGCGUGAAAGCUUGAAGGUACCUUCAAGUGAGAUAACCAUAGGCAGAGGACCAUUAAUUGGCUAGAUAUCACUGGAGGACUCUGCUGCAUUUGAUUCCACAACAAAGGGAAGCUGUCAAAAGGAGAUCUGUGUCGGUUGCAAGAUCUGGAAGGAAAACCACCCGGUGUAAUGGGAUGGUGGCAAGAUCAGUUACAUUUGUUGAAAAUCAUGACACAGGGUCAACUCAGGGUCAUUUACCUUUUCCAUCUGAUCAUAUUAUGGAGGUUGUGGGGGAAAACAUUGAGGGGGUUUCGCACACUUUGUCACUACAUGCUUACAAACCGAUACAUCUCUGGAGAAGAAUAAUAGAGUUGAGAAGGAUCCGGGACACGUUAUGUGCGGUGGGAAUUUCAAGUUCUAAAAUAGUGAUUUCUAGAUGUUCUUAGGUAUUGCUCUAUAGUUCAGCAAAAUAGAAAUACAAUAUGUACAUUCGAGGAUAUCCGCUAUGAUCAUCGUUUGCAUAAUAUUCUUAUUGUUUCGAUUCAUUAUUAAUUUAUUAUGCGUUCUAACUACGUGAACACUGAGAUUAUCGGUGGCAAAAUAUUAUACGCAAAUACCUGCUA